AUGUCUGGGGAUCUGCCCGGUAGAGGGGGAUAACCACUGGAAACGGUGGCUAAUACCGCAUAACGUCGCAAGACCAAAGAGGGGGACCUUCGGGCCUCUCACUAUCGGAUGAACCCAGAUGGGAUUAGCUAGUAGGUGGGGUAACGGCUCACCUAGGCGACGAUCCCUAGCUGGUCUGAGAGGAUGACCAGCCACACUGGAACUGAGACACGGUCCAGACUCCUACGGGAGGCAGCAGUGGGGAAUAUUGCACAAUGGGCGCAAGCCUGAUGCAGCCAUGCCGCGUGUAUGAAGAAGGCCUUCGGGUUGUAAAGUACUUUCAGCGGGGAGGAAGGGAU
Molecule: ribosomal RNA, 338 nt
Filed under: Pantoea brenneri
Lineage: Bacteria; Pseudomonadati; Pseudomonadota; Gammaproteobacteria; Enterobacterales; Erwiniaceae
Description: bacterial SSU rRNA
Rfam family: Bacterial small subunit ribosomal RNA
Source: RNAcentral